RNAcentral lists this long non-coding RNA (400 nucleotides) under Gossypium raimondii (Peruvian cotton). RNAcentral describes it as "long non-coding RNA (GRAI_LNC001092)". Lineage: Eukaryota; Viridiplantae; Streptophyta; Magnoliopsida; Malvales; Malvaceae. The record is from RNAcentral.
UUUUUGUAUUUGCCCCUCUUUUGCUUUUCUCUUUUCCCCUGCGAAAGACCAACUAAUGAUCGUCCUGCUUUCUUUUUACCUUCUCUAUUUCCUCUUUGCCUUUUUUUUUUUUCUGUAAAGUUGGAUCUCCUCGUAUUAAUCUGAAUAUUGGGAUAAUGGUGAAUCGUUGAUGGAUCUUAUUAACAAAAGUGGAUAGAUUUUAGGUGCUAUUGCAGCAGUUGGAAUUUGGAACCUAUUGAAGCUUAUCGCUUUUCCUUUAAGAAGAAUCCAAUAUAUUAUUGGUCAAUAAGAAUGACAAAAUUGGCAUCUCUAGGACCUAAAUGAGCAGCAAAGGAGGGAGUUUCCAAACUUAAAAGCACUCUACUUAAUUGUUUGAUUAUUGAAUAUGUCAUUAUGCACG